RNAcentral lists this ribosomal RNA (446 nucleotides) under uncultured soil bacterium. RNAcentral's name for it is "bacterial SSU rRNA". It matches the Rfam family "Bacterial small subunit ribosomal RNA", at positions 26 to 518 of the family's 1533-position model. The record is from RNAcentral.
AGAACGAACGCUGGCGGCAUGCCUAAUACAUGCAAGUCGAACGAAGGCUUCGGCCUUAGUGGCGCACGGGUGCGUAACGCGUGGGAAUCUGCCCCUUGGUUCGGAAUAACAGUUGGAAACGACUGCUAAUACCGGAUGAUGACGAAAGUCCAAAGAUUUAUCGCCAAGGGAUGAGCCCGCGUAGGAUUAGCUAGUUGGUGAGGUAAAGGCUCACCUAGGCGACGAUCCUUAGCUGGUCUGAGAGGAUGAUCAGCCACACUGGGACUGAGGCACGGCCCAGACUCCUACGGGAGGCAGCAGUAGGGAAUAUUGGACAAUGGGCGAAAGCCUGAUCCAGCAAUGCCGCGUGAGUGAUGAAGGCCUUAGGUUGUAAAGCUCUUUUACCCGAGAUGAUAAUGACAGUAUCGGGAGAAUAAGCCCCGGCUAACUCCGCGCCAAGCAGCCGC